AUUGAACGCUGGCGGCAGGCCUAACACAUGCAAGUCGAGCGGAUGAAGGGAGCUUGCUCCUGGAUUCAGCGGCGGACGGGUGAGUAAUGCCUAGGAAUCUGCCUGGUAGUGGGGGAUAACGUCCGGAAACGGGCGCUAAUACCGCAUACGUCCUGAGGGAGAAAGUGGGGGAUCUUCGGACCUCACGCUAUCAGAUGAGCCUAGGUCGGAUUAGCUAGUUGGUGGGGUAAAGGCCUACCAAGGCGACGAUCCGUAACUGGUCUGAGAGGAUGAUCAGUCACACUGGAACUGAGACACGGUCCAGACUCCUACGGGAGGCAGCAGUGGGGAAUAUUGGACAAUGGGCGAAAGCCUGAUCCAGCCAUGCCGCGUGUGUGAAGAAGGUCUUCGGAUUGUAAAGCACUUUAAGUUGGGAGGAAGGUCAGUAAGUUAAUACCUUGCUGUUUUGACGUUACCAACAGAAUAAGCACCGGCUAACUUCGU
This 483-nucleotide ribosomal RNA is filed under the name uncultured bacterium. Its description in RNAcentral is "partial 16S ribosomal RNA". It matches the Rfam family "Bacterial small subunit ribosomal RNA", at positions 30 to 506 of the family's 1533-position model. The record is from RNAcentral.